AACCAGCACCUCAAGUGGUCAGGAUGAUUAUUGGGCCUAAAGCAUCCGUAGCCUGUUCUGUAAGUUUUCGGUUAAAUCUAUGCGCUCAACGUAUGGGCUGCCGAAAUACUGCAAAACUAGGGAGUGGGAGAGGUAGACGGUACUCGGUAGGAAGGGGUAAAAUCCUUUGAUCUAUUGAUGACCACCUGUGGCGAAGGCGGUCUACCAGAACACGUUCGACGGUGAGGGAUGAAAGCUGGGGGAGCAAACCGG
This 252-nucleotide ribosomal RNA is filed under the name uncultured archaeon. Its description in RNAcentral is "partial 16S ribosomal RNA". It matches the Rfam family "Archaeal small subunit ribosomal RNA", at positions 474 to 727 of the family's 1478-position model. The record is from RNAcentral.